AGGCCUCGGUGACAGCAAAACAGAGCGCAACCCGAGCGUUCGGUUACUCGAUUUCGUCGGGUUUGUACCGGUACAAGGGGACCUUGUACCGGUACAGCACCUGAAGCCCUCAAACCAUUAAAACCGUGAUCGUUGUACCGGUACAGCCAUCGCCCUUGUACCGGUACAGCAGCUCCAGAAUGCUGUUUUUCGAUCUGUUUCGAUUUCUUUUCGCGUCCAACAACGCUAAAACUAUUCCAACACUUUUGGAACUCAUUUUUACUCUUCCAAACAUGUUGAAAUACCGAAUGGAACUUGUCCAAACAUUCGAUUGCUCACUUUGGUCCGUUGUGCCAAAGUUAGCCGAAUUCCGUCGAAUUUCGAUAUCUUACAUUCUCCACCCCUUAAAAGGAGUUUCGUCCUCGAAACAACUGACUCAUAAUGCGAACUUAAACUCUUACCUCAAUCCUCGAACAAGUGAGGAUGAUUAGCUUUCAUCUGGUCCUCGAGCUCCCAAGUGGCUUCGCGAUCGUCGUGAUUGCUCCACCGAACUUUAACAUAGGAAAUUUCUCGAUUCCUUAGCUUACGCACCUCCCGAGCCAAAAUCUCUACCGGAAACUCUUCAUAGCUCAAAUCAUCUUGAAGUUCCGGUGGCUCAUAUAGCAUCAUAUUGUCACGCCCCGGGACCGGUACCAAUUUGGUCCAGUUCGGGCGCGUCGGACAGACGCCGAACGGACAGGACCUCCCCUGUCCGCCCAAGGCCAACAGCGAGAUCAUGUACAACAAGUUCCCAGGAAAACACUUGAAUGCACACAUGAUCACACGACAAGCAAGAGCACGAACAGUGCUAGACGACUAAGAGCAAGAUACAAGUAUAAAACAUACAAGUACAUCAAGAGAGAAAGGUUCUAUCUAUUACAUUUAUCCACUCAAACUUCUUUAUACAUUUGAAUCCUUCUUUUACAAGCUUCCAAAACAUAAGUACAACACUCAUACCUCACCCUAUACAUCAUCUACUCUCAAACAUAAUAAAAGGUAGAGCUAAUGCAAAAGGGGUGGAUAGCUAGUGCAACUAGGGCGCUAGGCCCUUACCGCGAUCCUCGCCGUGUGACCUCGUGCUCGGCCCUGUAGUAAAAUGGGGGUGAGAACUAACUUCCUUAGUUCCCAGUGGGUUCGGCCGCCGACUCCGCCGAUCUCCCCACUAGGUCCAAGCGGGCAAAAGUAGAUAACAUGAUAAUAAUAAGCGAAAGCGGUAAUAUGACAGAAGAAGCUACCUCACAACUGCCUGCAAUCAUCAUAUAUAGUUAUGCAUGUACAAAUGAAAUAGAUAAUACAACUUCAACUCCAAUUAUUAUUCCAAAGGUAACGCCAAUUUACCCGUCUUCAUCAUUUCAUCUAGCCUGUUUCUAUUUCAGUGCUUAUCCAUGAAGAGCCUUACCUGCCUCACCUAAUCUAUCGAAGUAGUGAGGGUCAACAUCGCACACUACGAAACGCGAGACUCGUCUGCCGGCGACCCAUGUUCAAAAAUAGGUUUCGAUCCCUUGGGACCCCCAAUAUGCGAUCCCCCGGGACGUGACCAAACGUACGGCAGCGCACUACUUGUGAUGGGGCUUUCCAUCCCAUAGAUUCUUAAACAGCGGAGCAUGAAUCCAAAUCCUCCAUCUCGAGAAUACCUUAUAUCUAUCCUCUAAGGUUACUCUUAUCAACCACCCACCCACGUUUCAUCCCACCACAUCCAGGCACCUACAAGUAUCCUCGUAGUCUUCUAUUUAACUAUAAACUAGAUGCCACUCAUUCUUUUGCUCAUUAUCAACUAUGAAAUGUCCAAACAGUUAUUUGUUUAACAUUUAGACCUAACGUGCGGAGACCAUCUUUUUUCUCUGCAACUAUAUCGAUCUACAAGUCGACCCACAUCUCUAUCAAAUCCACUUCAUAUCAAUUAUCCUGUACAUCCUACGAUCAACAUCAAAGAAAGCAUAAGAAAGGCAAAUUCAGCAAUUAUCUUCUAUAAAUGCAAUAACACAAGAUUCAGAAUCAACAAUGUAGCUCAUAGACAUAGAAGGGGGCUCCGGUGCUUCGGGAGUGGACACCUACCUUCACCUUCUGGCAACGCCGCAAGGUUUAUAAACUUGUCUUUUGCGGCCUUCGCGACGCCGCGCGCUCCUCGCCCUAAAACUAUAACCUUCAGCAACUUGUUCAUCACAGCCGAACUGUCGCAGCUUGUCGCUCUGAUCGAAAUCGACGAACCGCAUUCCUACGCGUUCGAGAGCCAUGUAAUUAGUUUCUGACCAACCAAAGUUAGAUCACAACCCUAGAUUUCCAAAAAUCGCCCCACAAUCCGCCCAUAGAUAUGGCAACGGGGAAAAACAUCCGCGGUGCGGAAGCUUCGAUUGCGACCCGAACCACCAUCUCCUUACUCUCCUCUAGUUCCAUUCGAGACCAAUUCCAACAAUAAAACCUUCUAUAGCGAGAAAAUCUAACCAUUGGUAGGCUUGAGUUUACCCUCCAAAGCUUCUCCAAAGCUUGCUCUUUCGAUUGGACGGAGAGAGGAAAAAAUGGUCCGCGUUCUUCUUUCCUUCUUCUUCUCCUUCUCCUUUUUCUUCUCCUUCUUCUUCUCUUUCUUUUCUUCCUAGAGAGAGAGAGAGCAAAGAGGGAGUGAGAGAGAGAGAGAGAGCAACUGAGAGGGAGAGAGAGAGGGGUCCCCCACCUCUAAUAAAGGCCAUUUUACAAAUAGGCCCCUCAACUUUCCAUCUAAUACACAGCCCUCACUGGGCUGUUUUCGCAGCGAGGGACCGGUCCCAGGUCGGGGAGACCGGUCCCCGAGAGCUCUCCAUCUCGGGCAGAAGAAUUUCGCGUUCGGGAACCGGUCCUUGCCUGAGAGACCGGUCCCCGGGAGACCGGUCCUUGACCGAGAGACCGGUCCCCGAGAACUAAAUUCUCGGGACUUAGCCAAAUUUCGGCUAAUCUCGCUGGGCCAACGUUCGGGAACCGGUCCCUCAUUGCCAGGGACCGGUCUCAUCAGAGACCCCCGCGGCCCAGCCUGAUGGGACCGGUCCCUCCCUGCCAGGGACCAGUCCCCGAGAGCAUUUCUGCCCCAGUGCGGAUUUUGCACUGGUGCUCCCGCGGACCUUUCUUUAAUGCACUUUAUGCAUUAUAAUCACCUUCGGACUUUCCGAAGCCUACGCACUCGACAACUAGUCGAUUCUAAUCGAAGUCUAAUCCUCGUAUUUCGAGAAUUCACUUCCUCACACAUAUGCUCGGGGUCGUGAAUAUACUUGCGGAGGUUGGAGACGUGGAAGACAUUGUGCACACCCGCAAGCUUCGGGGGCAAUGCAAGUCGGUACGCCACCGUCCCAACUCGCUCCAAAAUCUCGUAGGGGCCAAUGUAACGAGGACUUAGCUUUCCUCGCACCCCAAACCUUUUCACGCCUCGCAUCGGUGAAACCUUUAAGAAUACGCGGUCACCCACCGCGAACUCCAACUCUCGCCGGCGUCUAUCCGCAUAGCUUUGCUGCCUUGACUGCGCCGUGAACAAUCUCUUGCGAGCAAGGCGGACUUUCUCCUCCGCUUCUCGCAACACAUCGGGGCCGAACUCCGCACGCUCACCUACAUCGCUCCAGUGUAUAGGAGAUCGACAUGUCCGUCCAUAGAGAGCUUCAAACGGUGCCAUCUCCACACUAGCGUGAUAGCUAUUAUUGUAGGCGAACUCGGCCAUCGGUAGGUGGUCACACCAACUUCCCUUGUAAUCAAUAACACACGCUCGCAACAUAUCCUCCAGAGUCUGGAUAGUCCUCUCUUUUUGCCCAUCGGUCUGAGGAUGAAACGCAGAACUAAAGUCGAGCCGUGUGCCAAAGGCUUCCUGCAGGCUCCUCUAAAAAUGCGAAGUGAACCGGGGGUCACGAUCCGACACGAUCAAUUUCGGCACCCCAUGCAGCCUCACUAUCUCGUCAAGGUAAACCUGCGCUAGCUUAUCGCCUGACCACGUGGUGUGAAUCGGCAAGAAAUGAGCCGACUUUGUCAAUCGGUCUACAAUUACCCAGAUUGCAUCGUGGCCGCCCUUUGAGAAAGGCAAGCCGACCACGAAGUCCAUCGAUAUAUCCUCCCAUUUCCAAACGGGGAUUGGUAGACUUUGAAGCUUUCCCGCUGGGAAUCGAUGCUCGGCCUUUACUUGUUGGCAGGUUAGGCACUUUGCCACAAAGCGCCCGAUGUCGCCUUUCAUUCCCGGCCACCAAUAAUGCAUUUUUAGUCCUUGAUACAUCUUGGUGCCGCCCGGGUGGCCAGCAUAGGGAGACCAAUGUGACUCCUGAAGUAUAAGCUUGCGAAGCUCCUCAUCAGCAGGUACACACCUCCGGUUCCGA
Molecule: long non-coding RNA, 4337 nt
Filed under: Ananas comosus (pineapple)
Lineage: Eukaryota; Viridiplantae; Streptophyta; Magnoliopsida; Poales; Bromeliaceae
Description: long non-coding RNA (ACOM_LNC040477)
Source: RNAcentral